This 253-nucleotide ribosomal RNA is filed under the name uncultured bacterium. RNAcentral describes it as "partial 16S ribosomal RNA". It matches the Rfam family "Bacterial small subunit ribosomal RNA", at positions 524 to 776 of the family's 1533-position model. The record is from RNAcentral.
UACAGAGGGGGCAAGCGUUAUUCGGAAUUAUUGGGCGUAAAGGGCGCGUAGGCGGCCUUUCAAGUGACGGGUGAAAUCCCUCGGCUUAACCGAGGAACUGCCUGUCAGACUGAGAAGCUUGAGUUCGGGAGAGGUGAGUGGAACUGCGAGUGUAGAGGUGAAAUUCGUAGAUAUUCGCAAGAACACCAGUGGCGAAGGCGGCUCACUGGCCCGAUACUGACGCUGAGGUGCGAAAGCGUGGGGAGCAAACAGG